GCGGAAGGAGGCAAAGUCCUCCACUGAAGGCAAAAACCGGAACGGCGGCGAGGGCGGAGGGGCUCACCUGUUUGGCUACAGCCGCGCCGCGUCCCGGGGGGGCCGGGGGAGUCUUCUUCUUGUGCAUCUUGGCCGGCGGAUGGGGGGCGGGGGACGACGGACGGGGACCAUGAGCCCCGCGCCGGGUCGGGCCGGCGCUCAGGCCGAGGGGCUGCUGGGGCCAGCUCGCCUCAGCGGCCCCGCCCUGCCCAGCUUCUGGCUACGGCUGCCUUCGCUCACCGCUCCUCCAUACUUUACUGGCUCUCCGCUCUCCUCCGCCUCCUCCCGCUCCCCUCCUCUCCCUCGCUCAUCUUCGGCCGGCCCCUCCCCUCCCCGGCCCGCCGGCUUGCCGGCUUUCCGGCCGCCGGCUUUCCGACUUUGCGGGGCCGCUUGACGGCUGGCCCGGGAAACGGACUACAAGUCCCGUGAGGCCCCGCGCCGGCGUUGAGGCGUUUGGGCGGGAAAGGCGCGCGGCCGGGUUGCUUCGAGGAUCGCGAAGCGGGGAGCGUGAGGAAAAGGGGCCCUCGGCGAAGGGAGCGUGAGGAAAAGGGGACUUCAACGAAGGGAAUAUAUCCCAGAGAGCUAAAAUGAAUGAGAAGAAUAAAAGAAAGGCUGAAUCAUCAGAAGAAGAUGAAAUCUCUUCUUUCCAAGCCAAAAGAGCCACAAGCAGAAGCUCUCAGGAGGACAUCAACAUAAACCAAGACGGAAUGGAGCUGGACUGGAUGCUUAACUUUGAUGAUUUUGAAAGCAUAGUAGAAGUACCCACUGCCAUUGAGCAGACUGAUAAAGAGGAGGCACCAGUAGAUAACGUAUCCAAUGAUGAAACAGUGAUUCCCUCUGGACAGAGUCGCCAAUGGGACGGUUUUGAUGAUAUUUUUUCCCAGGAACUGUUUUCAAAAUCAAGUGUUUCAAUGUCAGGAAGUGUCCAGGAUCUCAAUAGUCCCCACCACCCAUUUAUGUCAGAUGCUCAGUUGGAAUACUCUAAUGACCUAAGCAUGCUGUUAGGUCAGGAGGAGACCAAGAAAAGUCCCUUCCAGUCUCAGAAUAUAAAUCUAUUUGAGGCUGUUGGUUCAGAGGACUAUGAUCAAAGAAGUGGGGUUGAAUUAUUUCCACAAGAAAGCACUGAUGAAAAUCACUUUAUAAACGAAAUGACUUUCACCUUGGACACUGAAAACCCAGAAUACAAUAAUAUGGAAGCUGGUCACUCUGCUGAAAUAGUCAGAUUCGGCCAAAAUGAAGAAUGGUUCCUGCAGAGUGGUGAUGCUCAGGCUGCAGGGCAGAAACAAACCUCAGCAGAAGAAAGAGCUACCCUGUGGGACUUUUCUCGAGGAAAAAGCGAUAGUCAAGAUAAAGGCAUACUUGAGCUACUCCGUGGUUGGGAGGAUGAUCCCUCCCCCGAAAGAAGAGAAAAUGAGGAAAGCGGCAUAACCACAACUCUAUUCAAUUCAAAUUUGACAGUACCUGCUCCUGAACAAAGCCUGGGGGGUCAGGCUGAAGAAGAGGGCAGCAGUUGGAACCCUCAAGCUUUUGAAGCAUUCCCAAUCUUCUCUGAACUAGAGACACGCUCAUUUUUCAAUUUUGAUCACCCAGCCAGUUCUACCUUUGGGGAACUUGGUAAUUUAAGAGAGGAGAAAGGAAUUACAAAAGAUCUGGCAAAAUGGUCAUCUGAACUUGAAGGUAGCUCAGUCUUAUCUGUCUUUAGAAAAACAGUGCAGGAAAAGAGACAAGAAACUGAAGAUGAGGGGCUGCCAGCAUCUCUUGAACAGAACUGGGUAUCUUCUAGUACUGAUCAAAAAGAAUUUUCUCCUUUCAGGGAGCAAGGUGUCCAAAGUCUACGGUCUUUUCUGGAUGAUUGGGGGGAUCAAAACGAUCCUCCUGGUGCCAGAAAAAGUGACAAAAAGGAAAAAGCUGCCCAACUGCCAAAGAGAAGAGACGGUCUAGCUGAUCCUGAUGAGGAAACCAAAACCAGAAAAUCCAUCAGAGAAUCUUUCACCGAAGGAGAUGAUUCAUUCAUUAGUAGCACCACUAAUAGCAAUAAUAGCAAUUGGAAGGGAUCGGGCUAUCUGGAUUUAGACCUUUCUCUUGAGGACCAGAGUAAGGCUGUUGUUGAAGAUGAGAUUAAGGAUGUUUUUGACGAUAAGUUGCAGGAUGUUAUGGAAGAUAAGUUGCAGAAUGUUAUGGAAGAUAAGGUUCAAGACAUUUUUGAAGGUCACAUCUUCAAAUAUUCUCCUGAACAGCAAAAUUCUCUGAAUUUUGAUUCAAUAUUGGCCAUGCCUGGAAGUUAUCCAUGGACUGAUGUAGGGCAAACCAGUUCAAAUCUUCCAGUUUCACUGGAAGACCAAUCUUGCCAGAAUAAUCAAAAGUCCAGCCUGGAGGAGAAAUGCUCUUCUACUCAAGAGGAAGAUGCAACAGAAACAGUUUGUGGGCUGGCUCUUGAACUCUCUGAUCUCAAGUAAGACCUUCCUCUUAGAUCUUUUACGGAGAAGACCCUCACAGAAGAUGUCCGGCUGGUCAUGAACACCUACAAGAAAAUGAAGCGCUUCAAGGGACAGAAGGGGCAAUACAAUACAACUUUCUUUUAAGGGAACAAAGAACCUUCCUUACCCCGGAAAGAAAUGUUAAAUGUUGUAGAUCUAGGUCAUACCUUAGAGCAAACAAAUUUGAAACACUUGUCCUAAAUCCUUCAUAAUACUCAAGGUGGGGUGCUCUUCUUCUAUUACAGUGUUUUUUUAAAAGAAAGUGGGUAGGCUAAUGCCAAGGAGCUAGCUGUUUGGGGGGUGGGGGGGUAAAGGGCUUCUGUUCCAGCUGGAAUGGGUCUUUCUUUCAACAUCAGGGUGUAAAAAAGUAGGCCCAGAGUAUGGAUCACAUCCCAAUUUUAGUUUUUUCACUAAGAUUUGAGUUAUAAAUCUGGGCUGUGGGGUGGGGAGGCAGAUUAAAAUAGCUGUUUUUCAGUCUCAUCGAUCUACCCAGAGUAGAUUUUCAGUCAUCUUCAAGCAACUAAAGAUAACUGAAACUUUUAGUCAGAAUAAAAACAUACAAAAAUGGUUAAAGAGAUAAGGUCCUGCCUUUGUCCAGGAGUGAGUCUGAGUAACAUAUUUUAAAAGGAUUUUAGCUUAGCAAUGUUAGUUUGAAGAGGACUGUAACGCUAAAUAUGCUUAAGGUUAUUUAUUUAUUCCUUGAAAACUCAGUAUUUCUUUCUAAGGGGGAAAAGGUGUCUUUGUACCUCUACUUUUGCUUUAAGCAUUUAGAUCUUAGGACAUAUUCCAAUUGGUUGUUUUUUUUUCCACUACAAUUUAGGUUAUAGAUUCAGGUUGGGGGAUUAGAAUAGAUGUUUGUUUGGCUCUACAUAUACCCAGAGUAAGUUUUCAGCCACGUUCAAACAACUAAAGAUAAUUGAAACUUUUAGUCAGAAUAAAAACAGAAAAGUGGCUGAGAUAAGAUCCUGGCUUUGCCCAGGAGUCAUUCUGGGUAGUACCUUUAAAAGGAUUUAGUGGCUUAGUAGAGUUAAUUUGAAGAUGACUGUAAUGUUAUAUUUGCUUAAGAAGAUGAAAUAGGUUUAAUACGUUUUUGUUGCAAAUUACAUAUCAUUUGGUUAAGGUUAUUUAUUGAAAGAUUAGUAUUUAUUUUCUGAAAGGGAAAAGGUCCUUUUUGUACCUCUUCUUUUGCUUAAUGUUCAUUUAGGUCUUAGAAUAACAACAAUAAAAUAAGAUUAUUUAAAACAAGUCUCAGGUGUGUUGUCAUGUAGCUCGUUCAGUCCCCUGACAAUGUAGUACCUGUAAUGUUCCAAGCCACCCUCAACCCAUUUUUCCAAGGAGUUCCAAACAGUUUUCCUCUUCCUGUAGUCUCCAUAUAACACGC
This 3897-nucleotide long non-coding RNA is filed under the name Ornithorhynchus anatinus (platypus). Its description in RNAcentral is "lncRNA (ENSOANG00000034230.2)". The record is from RNAcentral. Lineage: Eukaryota; Metazoa; Chordata; Mammalia; Monotremata; Ornithorhynchidae.